GACGAACGCUGGCGGCGUGCUUAACACAUGCAAGUCGAACGGUAAGGCCCUUCGGGGUACACGAGUGGCGAACGGGUGAGUAACACGUGGGUGAUCUGCCCUGCACUUCGGGAUAAGCCUGGGAAACUGGGUCUAAUACCGGAUAGGACCACUGCCUGCAUGGGUGGUGGUGGAAAGCUUUUGCGGUGUGGGAUGGGCCCGCGGCCUAUCAGCUUGUUGGUGGGGGGAUGGCCUACCAAGGCGACGACGGGUAGCCGGCCUGGGCGGGUGACCGGCCGCAGUGGGACUGAGGUACGGCCCAGAGUCCUCCGUGAGGCAGCGGUGGGGAAUAUUGCACAAUGGGCGCAAGCCUGAUGCGGCGACGCCGCGUGAGGGAUGACGGCCUUCGGGUUGUAAACCUCUUUCAGCACCGACGAAGCGCAAGUGACGGUAGGUGCAGAAGAAGGACCGGCCAACUACGUGCCAGCCGCCGCAGUAA
This 478-nucleotide ribosomal RNA is filed under the name uncultured bacterium. Its description in RNAcentral is "partial 16S ribosomal RNA". It matches the Rfam family "Bacterial small subunit ribosomal RNA", at positions 28 to 523 of the family's 1533-position model. The record is from RNAcentral.